CGCCAAUCCGAUAAAAAGCGCGCACCGGCGUGGCGCGCUUCGCCCCCAGGAGCCCCGAUCAUCUCCCGCUCCCUUCCUUCCUCCUCCUCCUCCUCAUGGCUCUGUCGUCCGCCGGCUCGUUCGUGGCCUGCAGCCUCCGGCCAAGCGGAGCUAGCAUCCAUGCCCCGAGGUCGCCGCCGCACCUGAAGCCGGGUGCUGCGGCGGCGUCGUUCACGAGGACGCCGCAGCGCCGGGCGAACGCGACCAAGGGCGGCGUGUCCACCGUGUGCGAGCCGCUGGGCCCCGACAGGCCGAUCUGGUUCCCCGGCAGCUCCCCUCCGCCGUGGCUCGACGGAAGCCUUCCAGGAGACUUUGGAUUUGACCCUCUCGGACUAGGUUCGGAGCCGGAGCUGCUGCGGUGGUUCGCGCAGGCGGAGCUGAUGCACGGGCGGUGGGCGAUGCUGGCGGCGGCGGGCAUCCUGGUCCCGGACCUGCUGGCGCGGUGGGGCUUCAUCGACGCGGGGUUCUCGUGGUUCGACGCCGGGUCCCGCGAGUACUUCGCGGACCCCUGGACGCUGUUCGUGUCGCAGAUGGCGCUGAUGGGGUGGGCGGAGGGGCGGCGGUGGGCGGACUACCUGAGGCCCGGGUGCGUGGACAUCGAGCCGCGCUUCCCGAACCGCAAGAACCCGGUGCCCGACGUGGGGUACCCCGGGGGGCUGUGGUUCGACUGGGCCAACUGGGGCCGCGGGUCCCCGGAGCCCGUGAUGGUGCUGCGCACCAAGGAGAUCAAGAACGGGCGGCUCGCCAUGCUCGCCUUCGUCGGCUUCUGGUUCCAGGCCGUGUACACGGGCCAGGGCCCCAUCGACAACCUGCUCGCGCACCUCGCCGACCCCGGCCACUGCAACAUCUUCUCGGCGUUCACGUCCCACUGAUCCGAUCUUGCUUCGGAGCUGGCGGAGAGACUGCGAAGGAUUAAAAAAAAGGGCAUCCUGUUGAGGGAGAAAGAACUUCGCUUGGGACGUCUGUAGCCAAAAGUUUAAUACGCAUCUGCAGGAGAAAGAAAAGAAAGAAAAAGAAAUUAUCAUCCAGAGAAUACGUGGGAAAUAAGCAGGAAUACAUAACCAAGAUAUUUGCCAGGCCAUCAUGCAAAUCCUUGGAGUUGGCGGCCACAAAGAUAGGAGUUUGUUGUAAUCUUUUCCUAUUAUUUAGAAUAAGUUAGUUUUAUAUCCAGUUAGAGACGGGAUAUAUAAGCACUAUUGUAAGCUGCAAAGACGAGAGAUCAACAGUUAUCAUUUUCUUU
Zea mays is the source of this 1279-nucleotide RNA transcript. It is a transcript of the gene named Photosystem I chlorophyll a/b-binding protein 6 chloroplastic, with no coding region annotated. The transcript is spliced from 6 exons. The record is from RefSeq and is marked validated. NCBI's taxonomy places the organism in Eukaryota, Viridiplantae, Streptophyta, Magnoliopsida, Poales, Poaceae.